GACGAACGCUGGCGGCGUGCCUAAUACAUGCAAGUAGGACGCACAGUCUAUACCGUAGCUUGCUACACCAUAGGCUGUGAGUUGCGAACGGGUGAGUAACGCGUAGGUAACCUGCCUAUUAGAGGGUGAUAACUAUUGGAAACGAUAGCUAAUACCGCAUAACAGUAUGUAACACAUGUUAGAUGCUUGAAAGAUGCAAUUGCAUCGCUAGUAGAUGGACCUGCGUUGUAUUAGCUAGUAGGUAGGGUAAUGGCCUACCUAGGCGACGAUACAUAGCCGACCUGAGGGGGUGAUCGGCCACACUGGGGCUGAGACACGGCCCAGACUCCUACGGGAGGCAGCAGUAGGGAAUCUUCGGCAAUGGGGGGAACCCUGACCGAGCAACGCCGCGUGAGUGAAGAAGGUUUUCGGAUCGUAAAGCUCUGUUGUUAAGGAAGAACGAGUGUGAGAAUGGAAAGUUCAUACUGUGACGGUACUUAACCAGAAAGGGACGGCUAACUACGUG
RNAcentral lists this ribosomal RNA (505 nucleotides) under uncultured bacterium. Its description in RNAcentral is "partial 16S ribosomal RNA". It matches the Rfam family "Bacterial small subunit ribosomal RNA", at positions 28 to 507 of the family's 1533-position model. The record is from RNAcentral.